GCUGCGGAGAAGCCCGUGGUCGCGCCCCACUUCCCGCCUCGCCUCGUCACCCCGCGCCAGGUGGCCACUGCUCCAAGCUUGGAGCAGAGCCAAAGGUAGUGGAGACACGGACGUCUUAGAGCCCUAAGUUUAAAAGAGAAAGCCUGAGGUAUGCGGGAGUGGCCGGGAAAGCCUGAGGAAUCCUAGCCACCAAAUCGCUACCCCUAGGAGGGAGCAUCUUCUGCCGGCCUCACAAGUAAGGUGGAGCCGGCUCGGCUCAGGGCGCCCCCAAGAGCCUCACCAAAAUCCAGGUGUUUGGACGGAAGCACGUUGGCAGGCCAAGUGCCUUAUUAGUCUUAUUUACCAACUCGUCGCAUUUCUAAAUUUUAACUUCCAUAUUCUCUACAUUCCUGAGGUGCAAGAGGACAUUGAAAUAAAUUUGUCGGCCGCGCGCUAAGGACUUUUUAACGCAUCCCACCCUUUAUGUAGGUAACAAGCUCAUUACUGACACAAUCAGGAUUACCAAAACAAGGAUUUGAAGCCUUUCUAAUGCCAGAGCUGGGGCUUUCAUUCUGCCUGUCAUAGCUUUUCGCUAGGCUCUUCCCAUCCAAAUGGGCAAAGACACGCUUUGAAAGUAAUAUUUGAAAGAAAAACAAAACCAAAGAGGAGGGAAAAAAAAAAACUAUAAUGUAUGGUUCCGUGAAUAUUUUCCCAAAAACUUGAAUCAAUGAUGUAUUUUAUUUUCAAGACGUAGCACUCUUUAUUCAGUUAUCGCUAACCAUUUAAAUUUAUAACGACCUGUUUUUGUCUUUUUUUUUUUUUUUUUUUUUUUUUGAGACAGGGCCUCUAUGUAUCUGAGGCUGACCUCCAACUUGCUGCCAUCCUCCUGCAUCACCCAUACAGGGGCUGGACCAUCAUGCCCAGCUCUAAUUUCUUUAGGAUCAACUUAAAUAGAAUUACUGGGUCAAAGGGAAUCAUCUGUCCUCUGCCUCACAUACCUACAAGCAGCCCAGAAGCGAAGAAGCCAAGCAACCAUGGACUGAAAUCAUGAACCAAACCAUUUUUCCUCUAUAAAGAGAAGAGCUGAUUAUCUCACACAUCACCAUGUAUUUGUCAAAAACACGUUAAGAAAAGGCCAAAAGUAAAGCCAAUUCAAACUACUAGCCUUUGGGUGCCCAAUGUUGGUUCAUCAAUUUUAACAAAUGUACUACCUACAGCAGAGUGAUAACUCGAUUGGGUUGAAAAAUUCUCUUGUACUUCCUGUUCAAUUUAGUUAUAAACCCUGUUAUGACAGCCUAUUUAAAAAGAAAAAUGUAGACUAUGUAUUCAGUACUUAAUAUAUUAUUAUACAAUCAAAAAUAAUUAUUUUAUAACAAUGUGAAUGCUGUGCCCUCUAUCAGUUGAAUGGUUAAUGCCCAAUAGAUGUGAUCCAAAUUAAUUAGGGCCUGCUUUUUAAAUCUUAGAAGAAAGUGUUUAAAAUACAGUCAAGUGGCUUGUGAGAUUCUUCAGUGACACAGCACUUCUCUAUUACAUGCACUGCCAUGGGUUCAACCUCUACCAUCACUGAAAAAUAACCUGCCCCAAACAAACAUAUUUCUUAAUUCUGAUGGCUUCUCAUAACACUUACCAAAUAAACUUUCAUCUAAGAAACAUUAUCCUCUGUUCCUAAAAUAUUCGAAUAGCAUCUGAACUUGUUUAAGUGUAACCCCAUGAAUUUUAUAGGCCAUAGAGAAAGAAUUCCAGGUAUUCUGUCCUUUAAGGCCAUUCAUCCUUUAAAAGGACCAUCAUCCUUUAACAAUAUCCAUAGUUUUCCCAGCAGUUCACCCCUUCCCUAUAGAUUUAAGUAUGCUAAUUAUAUUUGACACCUCACCUAUAACUAUUAAAGAGGAUAGGACUUUUCAUAUUAAAACCAUGUCAACUAAUGGCACCAUUCUGAAAAACUCAAAUUUCUUAGAACCUAUACAUUUUGGAACUGAACUAUCACUAAAGCAGGUGGGUUAACUACUUCAUCAUGAGAUUAUAAUAGUUAAGUGUCCCUGAAUAAAUCACUUUCCAUGAAUAAUAUUUUAGUGUUUGGCACUAAUUUCUUAAGGAACAUCUCUCACCUUCAGAAAUGAUUGAAAACAAUGUGCAUAAUUCAUUUUUUAAGUUAUUUUACUCUCAAACUUUUCUAUCAACUCCUUGAAUAUUAUUUUUAACUUAAUUAUCAUUACCUUUGCCAUAACUUCAGGAUCAGGAUCUUCUAUAGGGUCAGCCCAUUCAACUGUUCCAACAUUUCCCCAGACCUUGACUUUACCACUCAUUAGCCUACGCCUUGCCUGGGCAGCUGUUUUAUGAUCUUCAUAUUCAAGAAAACAAAAGCCUCUGUUUUUUUUCUUGUCAUCCGGUUGGUGGUAUAAAAUGACAUCCGUAAGAC
Long non-coding RNA from Cavia porcellus (domestic guinea pig), 2395 nucleotides. RefSeq lists it as uncharacterized. The transcript has 2 exons. The record is from RefSeq and is a predicted model, not a curated record. Lineage: Eukaryota; Metazoa; Chordata; Mammalia; Rodentia; Caviidae.